AAAGUCGUAACAAGGUAACCGUAGGUGAACCUGCGGUUGGAUCAUUACUGAUUUACGGCAGACUCUGGCUUUCGUAGCUGUCGAGUCUGCCCAUCAACCACUGUGCACUGUAAUUGUAUUUUGGGUCAGACUCCUAGAGUUUGGCCCAGCCUAUACCAACCCCUUUUAAUAGCCUUAGUUUUUAUAUGUAAAUGUAAACAACUUUAGACAACGGAUCUCUUGGCUCUC
RNAcentral lists this unclassified non-coding RNA (228 nucleotides) under Chytridiomycota sp. RNAcentral describes it as "partial contains small subunit ribosomal RNA, internal transcribed spacer 1, and 5.8S ribosomal RNA". The stretch from base 1 to 47 matches the Rfam family "Eukaryotic small subunit ribosomal RNA", at positions 1785 to 1831 of the family's 1831-position model. The record is from RNAcentral. Lineage: Eukaryota; Fungi; Chytridiomycota.